UACGUAGGGUGCAAGCGUUGUCCGGAAUUAUUGGGCGUAAAGAGCUCGUAGGCGGUCUGUCGCGUCGGCUGUGAAAACUUGGGGCUCAACCCCAAGCCUGCAGUCGAUACGGGCAGGCUAGAGUUCGGUAGGGGAGACUGGAAUUCCUGGUGUAGCGGUGAAAUGCGCAGAUAUCAGGAGGAACACCGGUGGCGAAGGCGGGUCUCUGGGCCGAUACUGACGCUGAGGAGCGAAAGCGUGGGGAGCGAACAGG
RNAcentral lists this ribosomal RNA (253 nucleotides) under uncultured bacterium. Its description in RNAcentral is "partial 16S ribosomal RNA". It matches the Rfam family "Bacterial small subunit ribosomal RNA", at positions 524 to 776 of the family's 1533-position model. The record is from RNAcentral.